CCCUUAAAUGUCCUGGGCCGCACGCGCGUUACACUGAUGCAUUCAACGAGCUUAUAACCUUGGCCGAGAGGCCUGGGCAAUCUUGUUAACGUGCAUCGUGAUAGGGAUAGAUUAUUGAAAUUAUUAAUCUUGAACGAGGAAUUCCUAGUAAACGCAGAUCAUCAAUCUGCAUUGAUUACGUCCCUGCCCUUUGUACACACCGCCCGUCGCACCUACCGAUUGGAUGGUCCGGUGAAGCCUCGGGAUUGUGGUUCUUGCCGCUUUAUUGUGGCGUGACCGCGAGAACUUGUCUAAACCUUAUCAUCUAGAGGAAGGUGAAGUCGUAACA
Molecule: ribosomal RNA, 328 nt
Filed under: uncultured eukaryote
Lineage: Eukaryota
Description: partial 18S ribosomal RNA
Rfam family: Eukaryotic small subunit ribosomal RNA
Source: RNAcentral